AACCUUACAAAAGCUAACGUUACAUAGAGGCAGUAUUUAGUCAAGUGUUAUAAUGUAUGCAUCAAUAUUAAACUAACUGGGACAAUUUUCAUUUACAGAUAACAUCAAAUAAAAAACCAUGGAGAAAGUCACGAGGAAGCAGUGGUGAGGUGGACAUGAUCCAUGCAGUGGAGGACUGCGGGGCAGGGAUGGCUAUCCGCCAGGCUGCCAAGGUGCAUGGUGUACCUCGGCAGACCCAGGCGGACAAGGCUGAGCGGCCGGGUGACCCAUGGUUGUCGCAGUGGACCACCCACAUCGCUUGCACCAGAGGAUGAAAAUUAUCUGGUGCAGUACUGUAUCUACCAAAAAACAAAAUAAACAUUUUCAUUCUGGUUGGAUAA
Oncorhynchus keta (chum salmon) is the source of this 380-nucleotide long non-coding RNA. RefSeq lists it as uncharacterized. NCBI's taxonomy places the organism in Eukaryota, Metazoa, Chordata, Actinopteri, Salmoniformes, Salmonidae. The transcript has 3 exons. The record is from RefSeq and is a predicted model, not a curated record.